Manis javanica (Malayan pangolin) is the source of this 669-nucleotide non-coding RNA. The record is from RefSeq and is a predicted model, not a curated record. Lineage: Eukaryota; Metazoa; Chordata; Mammalia; Pholidota; Manidae.
ACAGAUUUGCUGUUAUUCUUAGUUUUAGGAGAACGGUGCAUUUCACUCUUUUUUAUUACUGUUGUUUUAUAAGCAUGUGGAGACCCCAAGGCAAAACCAUCCUACCUUAUUGACAAAAACCUGGAAUUUGCUGUGAAGUUCAUAGUCAGAAAGUUCCCUGCUGUAGAAACCCGCAACAACAAUCGAUAGCUUGCACAACUUCAGAAAGAAAAUGCUGGGAUUCUGAAAAAUUUGGCAUUAUACUACUUCACAUUUGUAGAUGUCAUGGAAUUUAAGGACCAUGUUUGUGAAUUGCUGAAUACUAUUGAUGUUUGCCAAGUCUUCUUUGAUAUUACUGUAAACUUUGAUUUAACAAAAAACUACUUAGAUUUGAUCAUAACCUAUACAACACUAAUGAUCCUGCUGUCUUGAAUUGAAGAAAGGAAGGCAAUCAUUGGAUUAUACAACUAUGCUCAUGAAAUGACCCACGGAGCAAGUGACCGAGAAUACCCACGCCUUGGUCAGAUGAUCAUGGAUUAUGAAAACCCUUUAAAGAAGAUGAUGGAAGAAUUUGUACCCCAUAGCAAGUCUCUUUCAGAUGCACUAAGUUCUCUUCAGAUGGUGUAUCCUCGAAGGAAUCUGUCAGCUGACCAGUGAAGAAACGCCCAAUUACUGAGUCUCAUCAGUGCA